GACGAAGGAUCCAAGCGUUGUCCGGAUUUACUGGGUUUAAAGGGUGCGUAGGCGGGAGAUUAAGUCAGUGGUGAAAGCCCUCAGCUCAACUGAGGAACUGCCAUUGAAACUGAUUUUCUUGAAUAUGGUUGAGGUAGAUGGAAUAUAACAUGUAGCGGUGAAAUGCUUAGAUAUGUUAUAGAACACCGAUUGCGAAGGCAGUCUGCUAAGCCAUAAUUGACGCUGAGGCACGAAAGCGUGGGGAGCAAACAGG
This 253-nucleotide unclassified non-coding RNA is filed under the name uncultured Sphingobacteriales bacterium. RNAcentral's name for it is "contains 16S-23S intergenic spacer region". It matches the Rfam family "Bacterial small subunit ribosomal RNA", at positions 524 to 776 of the family's 1533-position model. The record is from RNAcentral. Lineage: Bacteria; Pseudomonadati; Bacteroidota; Sphingobacteriia; Sphingobacteriales.